AAUGUUUGAUUGUUUGGGGAAAAACUAAGAGCUAAACUAAUAUCUAGAUUAAAUAUCAAUAAAACGGAUAUCGGUAUGUAGUUCGUCAAAACUAGGGAAUCAAGUCUUUGUCGGUUUCCAGGUUUUUAAAAUAAAUCGUUUCAGUUAACUUUAUUGGUUAAAGGUUUUAUCUCAAACUCUCGCUCUGUUGAAUAAACCAUGAUUUUAUAUUAAUGUUGCUGUCACUUAUAAUUAAGUCAAAAACCAUAUUUUGAAAGCAAUAAAGUUGCAGAAACUCUUUUUAAGAAAAUACUGACCGUUUUAAACACCCUUAUCUCAAACUCUCGCUCUGUUGACUUAGGUUAUAUGAUUAAAUCCAAAUGCUUAACUCUC
RNAcentral lists this long non-coding RNA (372 nucleotides) under Lathyrus oleraceus (garden pea). RNAcentral's name for it is "Pisum sativum (pea) long non-coding RNA (PSAT_LNC023964)". The record is from RNAcentral. Lineage: Eukaryota; Viridiplantae; Streptophyta; Magnoliopsida; Fabales; Fabaceae.